Long non-coding RNA from Felis catus (domestic cat), 298 nucleotides. RefSeq lists it as uncharacterized. Lineage: Eukaryota; Metazoa; Chordata; Mammalia; Carnivora; Felidae. The record is from RefSeq and is a predicted model, not a curated record. The transcript is spliced from 2 exons.
CCCAUCUGAUUCCCAAAUCCUAACUCUCUGGAGCCAUGCCCAAUGUGUAGCAGUCUGGGUCCAAUCGAGAGACAGCAACCACACCAUGAUUUUAAAAGGGCAGGUUCAAGAGCAAGAAUAAUGAGGCUAUGAUCAAAGAAGCACACACAGUUCCCUAGCCCUUUCUGCCACGUGAGGACACAGCAUGAAGCCUGUGACCCAGAAGAGAACCCCCCGCCUGACCACGCUGGCAUCCUGAUCUCAGGCUUCCAGUCUCCAGAACUGUGAGAAAAAAUAAAUUUUUGUUGUUUAUAAGCUA